Molecule: long non-coding RNA, 4671 nt
Filed under: Homo sapiens (human)
Lineage: Eukaryota; Metazoa; Chordata; Mammalia; Primates; Hominidae
Description: HSALNT0263419
Source: RNAcentral
CUCAGGUAUUCAUACAUGUGGCAACGGGGUUCCUCACUUGACCCUCACAAGCCUAUGGGAGCAGGGAUUGUCAUUCCAUUCUGCUAGGGAAACUGAGGCCCAUGGAUUUUAGGGAGGGUCACAAGGUUACUUGCAUUCAAACCUAAAGAAGCUCAUCACUAGUGUUCCUUAGGUUGAUCCCUGAGACCAUGUCCUUUGGAACAAAACAAGUCCAAAUUCCUAGGGACAUUUUAAUGACUAUAAAAGGGUAGGCAGGUGGCUUGAGGAUGGCUUCACAAUGAGAGUUGCAGGUUCCCUGCUUAGCCCCAGAAGUAAGGGGAGGACUCCGUGUUCUCAGAACUUGGAGGAGCCAUGGAACACUGGACAUAAUGAAACCUUCCGGCUAGAAAACAUCCUGGUGAGUCACGGAAAUGGGUCUCAUGCUUGGGAGGGCCUCAGAUGUCACCUAGGCCACCUCCACCCCAGUGCAGGUGUCAUCUGAAAUCUUUCUGUUAGUUGGGCACACUCAGUUACGGGGAAGCACAUGUUUGGACGCUGCAUUUUUAACAUGAGCAGUUCAGGCUUUUAAAAUCAACAUUUUUAACGCGAGCAGUUUGGGCCAUUAAAGAUAUUACAGUAUAUUUUAAAUAAAUAAAAUGGUGCUGGUGGGUCCUUAAGGAAGAAAUGGAGAACUCAGCAUCUGUGGCUGCUGGGGUGUUGGAGGCCGGCAGUUCUCAGCUGGGUGGCUCUCUGGGACUUCUUCUCCCUUGAGGAAAGCUGCACUGCCCAAUUCCAAGUUCACUCCUCCUUCUAGGGGACAGCCCACAAGAAAGAUUGGCUGAAUUGAAAAUAGGAAGGCCACGCUUCUCUCCUCAAUUAAAAAACACUACAUGACGCUCUCAGCCCUUGGGAUCCUCCGCAGGAGCAGCUGGGUCUUUGUUCUACCUGCACUGUAGCUCAGCACCUCGCUCCUCCUACAGUCCUGCCUCCCCAUUUCCUGAGGCAUGCUGACCCUACAGCUCUUCAGGAUGCUUCCUGCAUUCCUGUAUCCAUCUCUAGUCUGCCUUACAGAGAAACUGACCUUGAGCACCUAUUUCAUUCAUCACUGAGUUCGGAUGGGAAAUGAGGAAAGAGGAAAAAUCCAUGCUCCUGCCAAGAGUGUGUGCCAAGGAGUUGGGGAAGUCGCUGGGCCCUCCUAUGCUCAGUUUCAAUCUCCUAAACUGGGAAUAGUGAGAAAACCCGAGGCACAUGGAGAGUAAUGAAUUUGCUCAAGAUCACCCGGCUUUUAGAACUGGAACAUAGGCUGCCACACUCCACAGCCUUCACUUUUAAUGGUUGUACUAUGAUACCUCUUGCAGGAAGGGAGAGACAUCCCUCAGGAAGAAAGCAGAGAAGAAGCUAUAGCCUCAAUUAGGAGCAGCCCUCAUAGUGAGGCUGGGGCAGGUGCCAUGCUCCACGAGGCCCUGACAACCCAUGAUCACAUGGGGAAUUAUUCCUGGGAAGACGGAAGUGCAAGCAAGAAUCACCAAAGAUUUGAGGAACAGCACUGCAGCUAACAAAUUCAAGAAAAACAAUAACUCAAAAACAAAUAGCAAUCAAAAGAACUUCACACCUGAGCAAAUAUGAAAAAACAAAAUGUGUAAAGUUCUUUAAAGUUAGUAUACUUAAUGAUCUUAUAAGGAAAACAAAAGAGAAGUAAAUUCAUAAACCAACAUCAGGCAUGUAAUAAUAUGAAACAGAAAUAGGCGGGCAUGAGGUAACAACAACCAUCUUGAAAAAAUACCAAAACACAGACUUUGGAAAUGAAAACAUAAUCAGUGCUGAAAUUUUUUAAAAAAACUUAAUAGGUUGACUAGCUGACUAUACAUAAAUAAGUAUAAUAGUAAGUUAGUAAGCUGGGUGAUUAUGUAGGGGAAAUUUCCUGUGGUACAGCACAGAGACACACCCAAACAAAGUAAUGUGGAUAGGUAAAAAUAUACCACAAUAUUGUGGUAUAUCUUUUCCUAUUGCUCUAUUUUUACCUAUCCACAUUACUACAUUACUUUGAGAGGUGUGAGUCAUAAAGUAUUAUGUCUCCAAAAAUAAGAAUUGGGCGUAUAUGACUCAAAAAUGCAUAGUAUAGUGUCAGGAAGAUGGCAGAAUCUGUGCUUAGAGCAGCAAGUGCCUUCCUGUGAACUUCAAUCCUUCAGUAAAGAUCAACUAAGUACACAGAUGCUUACAAUUUUUGUGGAAAUCACGUGGAGAAUUGAAAUUUAAAUUUAGGUGACUUGGGGAAGCAUAGAUAAAAUCUGAAUGUUUGAGAGGACCAGGAACCUGGGAGUCCAUGAGCCAAAAUUCUCCUUUAUCUGCCAUAUUUCACCCUGACUCAUCACAGCAGGUGCAGAUAACCAGGGACGACUUUGGGACACAUGAGAAACUGGGAGCCAGUGGAUGCUCCAGAAGACUAAAGAUGUAAGACUGUGGGCUUAAGAAUCAAAACUUCCUGGUCUGAAAUCCAGCUCUAAUGGGUCCCAGCUGUGUGAUCCUGGGGUCACUAUUAACUUCCCUGUUUCCUGAGUUUCCCCAAGUGUACAACGGAGAGAAUAAUCAUACCAUCUUCAUAAGUUUGUGAUGAGAAUUAAAUGAACUAAUAUAUGCAAAUUACUUAAUACUAUCUGACCAUGUCCUCCAAAAGUUAUAUAUUCAGUAUUACCAUUAUCAUUAUAGAUAGUAGUUAGAUAUUAUCGUUAUUAGGUAGUGUUUUGGUAAUAGCAACAAUUUUAAAAAACAGAUCCUCUGCCCUCAAGAAUUUAUGAUGCUGUGUGACAACCUUGGCCAGUGGCUGGUGGAGGUGGAGUACGACGAUGAUGAGCUGAGGUCAUGUGCCCAGCCCUAGAAUCAUGGAGUCAUUACCAGCACCAGGGGCAUGCUAUAGGCAUGACGUCUGGGGGAAUCAAUAUGACCCCAGUAAGGGUCUACUCAAAUGCUCAUGGAAAAGCUGUUCCAAAUCUUGUCUCAUGCUGGGAUGGGAGAGAAGAAAAUGCUCCCAAAUGUAAAUCAAUAGGAGCAGGUAACAUGGGCUGAGAGGGUGAGGAGACACCAUGUAGAAAUACACUCAUGUAGAGCAGGCUGCACUCACUCACCUGUGAGUCCUGGUAGCAGAGGAAGUGGCAGGGGCUGUCCAGAUGGGCUGGGAGACAGGGAUGGACAUUGCCUGCCCUGUCAGACUGUCUCAUGGAGAGAAUCCAGACUCUACUCUGCAGGAAAGGAGGGCAUCUGCUUAUCUGCUAUGUUGUCUGAGGAGUGAGGUAGCUGUAGGGAGAAAGGGCCAUGAGACUGGGACAAUCCUCCAUUGUGAAAGAGGAAGUGGACACAGUUGCCAUCUCUGGGAAGUUGUGGAUGUCUGUGCUUGGGGUUCCCAGGCCUGGGUAGAUUUAGCCAGUACUGGAGAGAGGUCCACUGCCCCAGAACCUGCUCUCUGUUUCAGAGGCACUCAUCUCAUGCCAGGGGUCCCAUGACCCUUCCUCAUUGACAGCCCAGACCAAGAGGGCUCUGUAGCUAAGGACUGAGCUUGCAAUUUCAGAGACCAUAAUUCCAGAUGUGGCACAUUUGAGGGCUUGUGGCUGUAGCAGCUUUCUGGGAUGAAACCCAGUCCCCUGCACAACCCCUGCAAAAAGUCCCUUAAGUCAACACCAAGGAACCAGCUGAGCAAAUCAAAAGUGACAUUUCUUCUUAGAUCUGUCAGAAAAACGAGGUCACAGGGCAAACCACUGUCCCCAGAAUUGAGGAGUUGGGCAGGGUAAUAUAGAGAAUCACAACUUCCUGAAGCCAAAACCUCUGUGGGAACCAGUGCCGGGGAAGGAAAGCCUGCACUGUAAUUGAAGAAUUUCUUGAGGCUCAGUGUGGGCCAGUCUUAGACACAAACUCGAGGAGGACCCAAUAACGGAGGUCUCCCACACUUUUGUGAGUUUUAUCUCUGGGAGCUUGGUUAGCUCGUCAGAGUGAAUAUAGGAGAAAUAUUCACUUGUGCUCCCAGGACACGGAAAGGAAAAGCAAUCACUUAAAAAUAUACCAGAGUGUCCUAUUGUUCUUUCGCUUGUUCCAUAUAGUAAAUAUGCAAGACAAAGGCAAGCACUGUUCCAACUACUGUUGAUACAUUUUUAGAAAGAAAUAAAACAAUUUAACUCUCAAUGUUUCUAAUGCUUUGAAUUACAGUAUACUAAAUAUUUGAACUUCCUGCUACAUUUCUAACUGACAAUAUGACAGUUUCUAAUACUUUGACAACAAUUAUGAGGAUCACAGAACAACCAUUAUUUUUCCCAUUGAAUGUAGAGUUGUUUACCAGGGCUUCAUGGUUUCCAGUUAUUUUUACAAUCCUGCACUGCCAUGCAAAGUGAGGACAUGCAAAAUAAGUACACGUGGUAAUAUAAUACAGUGCUGAGGAGAAAAACUGAUCAGGAUAAGAGGAAUUGAAAUUCUAGGGUAGGAGAGGAAAAUGACUAUUUUUCCUCACCAUGGUUUACAAAAUGUGUCUUUAAUAAAGUGAAAUUUCAGCAGAAACUUACUUGAAGGAAAGAAGAGAGUGAGCCAUGCAGCUGUUUUGGGGAAGACUCAGAGGAAUGACAGGAUUUGACUUUUCAAAAAAAAAAAAAUCAUGGCCCGGCGCGGUAGCUCACGCCUGUAAUCCCAGCACGUUGGGAGGCCAAAGCGGGC